AGACUAAUUGAAUUACAUUUAGACACUUUGACUCAUUGUCGACAGGUUGUGUCGCUUCAGCAUAGCGAAACAAUCAUGAGUAUAGUGUCAUAAUGUGCACAAUAGAGGUUAGCAUGGCUCUUUGAGGGAUUAGAGAUGCUGAACCUAAUGUAAUUAAAUGGUGUAGGGCAUCACGAGUCUAAUAUUCUCUUUUGAGGGUUGAUAUCUCUAUACUCGCCGUAUGCGGUUUCUAAUAUAGAGCUCCCAAAAUACAGGUUGACUCGGCGGUCGCACUGUUCAUUUUCCUGUAUGAAUAGAAUUAAUAGUGGUGUGAUGUUGAGGAAGUGGUUACGAUGGUAUCGAUCCCGCUAUGUGCGAGUGGGAGAUGUUGGCAUUCGGUUAAAUCGAAUCGGGUGCGCCUAUGAUCGGGUUCGAUUCGACGGUUAUAAUGUUGUCUAAUUGGAUUAGGAUUAAUCUCGCUUUUAAAUUAGAAAGCUAUUUGAGAUAAAUUCUAAUCAUAUUUGAAUAAUAAUUAAUAACCGAUUUGGCCUUAUCUCUUACGCAUCUAUUAGGAAUUUAAAAUUCCUUAUAAAUAUAUGGGCGAUCUCACAUAAAAUAGAUAAGAACGUAAGAACAAGAAAACAAAAACAAGAAAACAAAAAAUUAUAUAGUAUAA
RNAcentral lists this long non-coding RNA (655 nucleotides) under Ananas comosus (pineapple). RNAcentral describes it as "long non-coding RNA (ACOM_LNC031320)". The record is from RNAcentral. Lineage: Eukaryota; Viridiplantae; Streptophyta; Magnoliopsida; Poales; Bromeliaceae.